AGUGAACGCUGGCGGUAGGCCUAACACAUGCAAGUCGAACGGCAGCACAGUAAGAGCUUGCUCUUACGGGUGGCGAGUGGCGGACGGGUGAGGAAUACAUCGGAAUCUACUUUUUCGUGGGGGAUAACGUAGGGAAACUUACGCUAAUACCGCAUACGACCUACGGGUGAAAGCAGGGGAUCUUCGGACCUUGCGCGUUUGAAUGAGCCGAUGUCGGAUUAGCUAGUUGGCGGGGUAAAGGCCCACCAAGGCGACGAUCCGUAGCUGGUCUGAGAGGAUGAUCAGACACACUGGAACUGAGACACGGACCAGACUACUACGGGAGGCAGCAGUGGGGAAUAUUGGACAAUGGGCGCAAGCCUGAUCCAGCCAUACCGCGUGGGUGAAGAAGGCCUUCGGGUUGUAAAGCCCUUUUGUUGGGAAAGAAAAGCAGCAGGUUAAUACCCCGCUGUUCUGACGGUACCCAAAGAAUAAGCACCGGCUAACUUCGUG
RNAcentral lists this ribosomal RNA (492 nucleotides) under uncultured bacterium. RNAcentral's name for it is "partial 16S ribosomal RNA". It matches the Rfam family "Bacterial small subunit ribosomal RNA", at positions 29 to 507 of the family's 1533-position model. The record is from RNAcentral.